UACGAAGGGGGCUAGCGUUGCUCGGAAUCACUGGGCGUAAAGGGUGCGUAGGCGGGUCUUUAAGUCAGGGGUGAAAUCCUGGAGCUCAACUCCAGAACUGCCUUUGAUACUGGGAAUCUCGAGUCCGGGAGAGGUGAGUGGAACUCCGAGUGUAGAGGUGAAAUUCGUAGAUAUUCGGAAGAACACCAGUGGCGAAGGCGGCUCACUGGCCCGGUACUGACGCUGAGGUGCGAAAGCGUGGGGAGCAAACAGG
Molecule: ribosomal RNA, 253 nt
Filed under: uncultured bacterium
Lineage: Bacteria
Description: partial 16S ribosomal RNA
Rfam family: Bacterial small subunit ribosomal RNA
Source: RNAcentral